AUGCCCAACUCUGAACCCCAUGACUGGUGUCCUUGGAGCUGGCAGAGAUCAUUUUGCUCUGAAGACUACAGCCUGGCAGGAGAGCAUCACCUUCUUUCAAGGCUUCGCCUCCUCUGGUGUCAACAGCUUGUGCACCAGCAUGUCAUUGAAGCCACAUUUGCAGAAGAGAGCGCGAUGAGCAGAGCCAGAGCUGAGGGCUGCCUCCCUGCUGCAGGGAUCCUCCUCAGGCCAGGACGGCUUUCAAUCACUCUACCCCUGGACCAGGAAAGCAAGCACCAUGUCUACCCCAGGACAUGGUUCCUUUCAGUUCUGACAUGACUUUUUCUGGAGUCAUUAAAAAUACCAAAUGUGGUUCAAUGCAGCAGUACAGUCAAUGGCAACUGCAUUCCUCUGGUUGCUCAAGGCGAGACCUGGGAACCCUUCUUGACUCCUUCAUUCCCUCACUCCACCCCACAUCCAAUCCAUUAUCCAACCCUGUGAGCACUACUGCAAAAUACCCCUGGAAUCUGACCCCGUCUCACUUCAUCCGCAGUGUCCGCUGGGGCUAAGUUAUCCUCAUCUUCCAUCAAAAUACUUCAAUGGUCUCCAACCCGGUCUCCUCCUACUUGCUGCUCUAUCAUCUCAUCUACAGAGAAGCCAGAGUGAUCUUUUCAAAAUAGUAAGUUAUAUCAUGUCACCCCUCAGCUCAAAAAUCCUCCAGUGGUUCCCCUAUCACGCCAAAGAAAAGGCAAAAGACCUAACAAUUGCUGAGGUGACCCUACAUAUUCCAGCUUGUCACCUCUUCAGUCUCAUCCCCUACCUCUCUCCCCUGACUCACUCUGCUUCAGCCAGACUGGCUUCUUGCUGCAUCCCCAAAACAUCGGGUAUGCCUGUGUCUUAAGGCUUACAUAGGUGCUAUUCCCUCAGCCUGCCAUCCCCUUCGUGCCAAUAUCUUCUUCGUUCAUUCCCUUUGUCCAAAAGUAAUGUUAUCAGAGAGAAGUUGCAUAACCAUCCUCAUGAAAAUAUACCUAGUCUAUCUUUAAGGAACUGACUUUGCUUUAUUUUUCAUAGCACUUACCAUUACCUAAACUAUUUAAGCAUUUGUUUACACAUCAAUUUUUUCCCCUCCUAGAAUAAAAGUUCUAUGAUAGAAAGGUUGUACA
Molecule: long non-coding RNA, 1142 nt
Filed under: Sus scrofa (pig)
Lineage: Eukaryota; Metazoa; Chordata; Mammalia; Artiodactyla; Suidae
Description: lncRNA (ENSSSCG00060054816.1)
Source: RNAcentral